Molecule: small nuclear RNA, 107 nt
Organism: Ailuropoda melanoleuca (giant panda)
Lineage: Eukaryota; Metazoa; Chordata; Mammalia; Carnivora; Ursidae
Source: Ensembl
GUGUUUGCUUUGGCAGCACAUAUACUAAAAUUGGAAAAAUACAGAGAAGAUUAGCAUGGUCCCUGUGCAAGGGUGACAUGCAAAUUAAUGAAACAUUCCAUAGUUUU